RNAcentral lists this long non-coding RNA (188 nucleotides) under dengue virus type 2. Its description in RNAcentral is "Dengue virus 2 partial sfRNA1". Lineage: Riboviria; Orthornavirae; Kitrinoviricota; Flasuviricetes; Amarillovirales; Flaviviridae. The record is from RNAcentral.
UAGAAGUCAGGUCGGAUUAAGCCAUAGUACGGAAAAAACUAUGCUACCUGUGAGCCCCGUCCAAGGACGUUAAAAGAAGUCAGGCCAUCACAAAUGCCAUAGCUUGAGUAAACUGUGCUGCCUGUAGCUCCACCUGAGAAGGUGUAAAAAAUCUGGGAGGCCACAAACCAUGGAAGCUGUACGCAUGG